UCUCUCUCUCUCCCUUUCACUCUCGUUCUCUCUCUCUCUCUCUCUCUCUCGUUCUCUCUCUCUCUCUCUCUCUCUCUCCCUUUCACUCUCGUUCUCUCUCUCUCUCUCUCUCUCUCUCUCUCUCUCUCUCUCUCUCUCUCGUUCUCUCUCUCUCUCUCUCUCUCUCUCGUUCUCUCUCUCUCUCUCUCUCUCUCUCGUUCUCUCUCUCUCGUUCUCUCUCUCUCUCUCUCUCUCAGACAGUCAAAGAGACACAGAGACAAUAAUAAAUGAUACUUUUUGUAAUUGCUUGCAUGGCUGAUUCUGGAACAUUCUCACUAAUCUUUAUUGAUGAGGAACUCAUGAUGGAGCAGCAGAAUGAAUUCCGAAGUUUACUAAAACAUUCUGUCCCCAAUUCACAGAGAAAUGCCUCCAGAUGAAUCAGGAGGAACUUCAUCAUGCAGCGAGACAACGAUCCAAAACACACUUCCACCUCAACACAGGACUUCAUCAGGGGAAAAGUGGAAGGGUUUAGACUGGACAUGUAAAUCAGCAGACCUUCACCCGACUGAUCAUCUCACCUCCUGAAGAGGAGACUGAAGGGAGAAACCCCCCGAAACACACGACUACUGAAAGAAGCUGCAGGAGAAACCUGGAGAAGCUUCACAGGAGAAGAAACCAGCAGUUUGGUGUCAGUGAGGCGCAGGAGUGAUGCAGUUACUGCGAGUCAGGGAAAUGCAAUCUCUGUCUUCGAUCUCAAACCCGGAUGUCUCUGGUGUACAGCACAAACACCUGAACUGGCCUCGCCGCUCCAGUAGUUUUGGAAGUGACUGUAUGAACAUAAAAAUCAGUACUGGACAUUGUACCUCCCGGACAAAAAGCACGAUCUAAAUAUGUGUUGUCAACAUUAUAUUUUAACACAAUGCUUAAUAAUGUAUCCAGUCAUAAAUAAAUAUUAUUCUAAUUCAUUUCUCUACUAUUUCCACAAAUAAUACUGGAAGAGGAGCUCAAGACCCUGAAAGCGUGUUGAUCGAGUUGUCGAUAUGUUGGUGUGACUGCGACACCUAGUGUUCAUUCCAGGAACAUGAACUCCUUCUCAUCCC
Long non-coding RNA from Ictalurus punctatus (channel catfish), 1079 nucleotides. The record is from Ensembl. Lineage: Eukaryota; Metazoa; Chordata; Actinopteri; Siluriformes; Ictaluridae.